RNAcentral lists this ribosomal RNA (878 nucleotides) under uncultured fungus. Its description in RNAcentral is "eukaryotic LSU rRNA". The stretch from base 432 to 585 matches the Rfam family "5.8S ribosomal RNA". Lineage: Eukaryota; Fungi. The record is from RNAcentral.
UCUUGGUCAUUUAGAGGAAGUAAAAGUCGUAACAAGGUUUCCGUAGGUGAACCUGCGGAAGGAUCAUUAAAGAAAUUUAAUAAUUUUGAAAAUGGAUUUUUUUGUUUUGGCAAGAGCAUGAGAGCUUUUACUGGGCAAGAAGACAAGAGAUGGAGAGUCCAGCCGGGCCUGCGCUUAAGUGCGCGGUCUUGCUAGGCUUGUAAGUUUCUUUCUUGCUAUUCCAAACGGUGAGAGAUUUCUGUGCUUUUGUUAUAGGACAAUUAAAACCGUUUCAAUACAACACACUGUGGAGUUUUCAUAUCUUUGCAACUUUUUCUUUGGGCAUUCGAGCAAUCGGGGCCCAGAGGUAACAAACACAAACAAUUUUAUCUAUUCAUUAAAUUUUUGUCAAAAACAAGAAUUUUCGUAACUGGAAAUUUUAAAAUAUUAAAAACUUUCAACAACGGAUCUCUUGGUUCUCGCAUCGAUGAAGAACGCAGCGAAAUGCGAUACGUAAUGUGAAUUGCAGAAUUCCGUGAAUCAUCGAAUCUUUGAACGCACAUUGCGCCCCUUGGUAUUCCAGGGGGCAUGCCUGUUUGAGCGUCAUUUCCUUCUCAAACAUUCUGUUUGGUAGUGAGUGAUACUCUUUGGAGUUAACUUGAAAUUGCUGGCCUUUUCAUUGGAUGUUUUUUUUCCAAAGAGAGGUUUCUCUGCGUGCUUGAGGUAUAAUGCAAGUACGGUCGUUUUAGGUUUUACCAACUGCGGCUAACCUUUUUUUAUACUGAGCGUAUUGGAACGUUAUCGAUAAGAAGAGAGCGUCUAGGCGAACAAUGUUCUUAAAGUUUGACCUCAAAUCAGGUAGGAGUACCCGCUGAACUUAAGCAUAUCAAUAAGCGGAG